GAGUUUGAUCGUGGCUCAGAUUGAACGCUGGCGGCAUGCCUUACACAUGCAAGUCGAACGGCAGCACGGGAGCUUGCUCCUGGUGGCGAGUGGCGAACGGGUGAGUAAUGCAUCGGAACGUAUCCUGGAGUGGGGGAUAACGUAGCGAAAGUUACGCUAAUACCGCAUAUUCUGUGAGCAGGAAAGCGGGGGACCUUCGGGCCUCGCGCUCUUGGAGCGGCCGAUGUCGGAUUAGCUAGUUGGUGAGGUAAAGGCUCACCAAGGCGACGAUCCGUAGCAGGUCUGAGAGGAUGAUCUGCCACACUGGAACUGAGACACGGUCCAGACUCCUACGGGAGGCAGCAGUGGGAAUUUUGGACAAUGGGGGCAACCCUGAUCCAGCCAUGCCGCGUGAGUGAAGAAGGCUUUCGGGUUGUAAAGCUCUUUCGUCGAGGGAAGAAAUUGCACCGGACAAUACCUGGUGUAGAUGACGGUACCUUGAUAAGAAG
RNAcentral lists this ribosomal RNA (488 nucleotides) under bacterium enrichment culture clone ALO1_GLFRUDD03FRRXH. Its description in RNAcentral is "bacterial SSU rRNA". It matches the Rfam family "Bacterial small subunit ribosomal RNA", at positions 9 to 490 of the family's 1533-position model. The record is from RNAcentral.